Molecule: ribosomal RNA, 253 nt
Filed under: uncultured bacterium
Lineage: Bacteria
Description: partial 16S ribosomal RNA
Rfam family: Bacterial small subunit ribosomal RNA
Source: RNAcentral
UACUGAGGGGGCUAGCGUUGUUCGGAAUUACUGGGCGUAAAGCGCACGUAGGUGGCUUUGUAAGUUAGAGGUGAAAGCCCGGGGCUCAACCCCGGCAUUGCCCUUAAGACUGCAUCGCUAGAAUUGUGGAGAGGUGAGUGGAAUUCCGAGUGUAGAGGUGAAAGUCGUAGAUAUUCGGAAGAACACCAGUGGCGAAGGCGACUCACUGGACACAUCUUGACACUGAGGUGCGAAAGCGUGGGGAGCAAACAGG